GAUGAAGAACGCAUCGAAAUGCGAUAAGUAAUGUGAAUUGCAGAAUUCAGUGAAUCAUCGAAUCUUUGAACGCACAUUGCGCCCCCUGGUAUUCCGGGGGGCAUGCCUGUCCGAGCGUCAUUACAACCCUCAAGCUCAGCUUGGUGUUGGGCCCCGCCGCCCCGGCGGGCCCUAAAGUCAGUGGCGGUGCCGUCCGGCUCCGAGCGUAGUAAUUCUUCUCGCUCUGGAGGUCCGGUCGUGUGCUCGCCAGCAACCCCCAAUUUUUUUCAGGUUGACCUCGGAUCAGGUAGGGAUACCCGCUGAACUUAAGCAUAUCAUAAGCGGAGGA
Molecule: unclassified non-coding RNA, 328 nt
Filed under: soil metagenome
Description: partial contains 5.8S ribosomal RNA, internal transcribed spacer 2, and large subunit ribosomal RNA
Rfam family: 5.8S ribosomal RNA (bases 1-120)
Source: RNAcentral